Molecule: ribosomal RNA, 497 nt
Filed under: uncultured bacterium
Lineage: Bacteria
Description: partial 16S ribosomal RNA
Rfam family: Bacterial small subunit ribosomal RNA
Source: RNAcentral
GAUGAACGCUGGCGGCGUGCCUAAUACAUGCAAGUCGAGCGAACAGACGCGGCGCUUGCUCCUCUGUCGUUUGCGGCGGACGGGUGAGUAACACGUGGAUAACCUACCUAUAAGACUGGGAUAACUUCGGGAAACCGGAGCUAAUACCGGAUAAUAUAUUGAACCGCAUGGUUCAAUAGUGAAAGACGGUUUUGCUGUCAGUUAUCGAUGGAUCCGCGCCGCAUUAGCUAGUUGGUAAGGUAACGGCUUACCAAGGCAACGAUGCGUAGCCGACCGGAGAGAGUGAUCGGCCACACUGGAGCUGAGACACGGACCAGACUCCUACGGGAGGCAGCAGUAGGGAAUCUGCCGCAAUGGGCGAAAGCUUGACGGAGCAACGCCGCGUGAGAGAUGAAGGUCUUCGGAUCGGAAAGCUCUGUUAUUAGGGAAGAACAAAUGUGGAAGUAACUAUGCACUUCUUGACGGUACCUAAUCAGAAAGCCACGGCUAACUACGUG